UCCUACGGGAGGCAGCAGUAAGGAAUAUUGGUCAAUGGAGGCAACUCUGAACCAGCCAUGCCGCGUGCAGGAAGACGGCCCUAUGGGUUGUAAACUGCUUUUGUACCAGAGAAAACCCGAGUACGUGUACUCG
This 133-nucleotide ribosomal RNA is filed under the name uncultured bacterium. Its description in RNAcentral is "partial 16S ribosomal RNA". It matches the Rfam family "Bacterial small subunit ribosomal RNA", at positions 337 to 467 of the family's 1533-position model. The record is from RNAcentral.